ACGUAGGGAGCCAGCGUUGUCCGGAUUUACUGGGCGUAAAGAGCGCGUAGGCGGUUUGGUACGCGGAGGGUGAAAUACCGGGGCUCAACUCCGGUGCUGCUCUCCGAACGGCCAGACUAGAGUACGGGAGAGGGUAGUGGAAUUCCUGGUGUAGCGGUGGAAUGCGUAAAUAUCAGGAAGAACACCCGUGGCGAAGGCUGCUACCUGGAACGUUACUGACGCUGAGGCGCGAAAGCUAGGGGAGCGAACGG
Molecule: ribosomal RNA, 251 nt
Filed under: uncultured prokaryote
Description: partial 16S rRNA
Rfam family: Bacterial small subunit ribosomal RNA
Source: RNAcentral